This 13391-nucleotide long non-coding RNA is filed under the name Theobroma cacao (cacao). RNAcentral's name for it is "long non-coding RNA (TCAC_LNC000700)". Lineage: Eukaryota; Viridiplantae; Streptophyta; Magnoliopsida; Malvales; Malvaceae. The record is from RNAcentral.
GAUUCCUGAGGAUCUUAGGCAGAGUGCUAUAUAGAGAGAGAGGCAAAAAGGCAGGCUAUAUCGAUAGAGUAUCAGACAAUUUGGCAAUGGAGAGGCAGGUGGCAAUCGUUGGAGCUGGAAUAAGUGGCCUCCUUGCCUGUAAGUACACCUUGUCGAAAGGUUUCCAUCCAGUUGUUUUCGAGUCCCAAAGGAGCGUUGGAGGGGUAUGGACCCAAACGCUGGAGACUACAAGGCUCCAAACCCCCAAGUCAGUUUAUCAGUUCUCAGAUUUUCCUUGGCCAUCUUCAGUCACAGAUGAUUUCCCUACCCAACACGAUGUCUUCGAUUAUGUUAAGGCGUAUGCACAACAUUUUGACUUGCUUAAGCACAUCAAAUUCAACACCAAAGUUGCUGGUAUUGAGUACGAAGGCCCCCCUGAUGAAGAGAUGCGAUCUUGGAGUUUAUGGGGUGGCACUGGUGAGCCCUUUAGCUCCAAAGGGAAAUGGAAGGUCAUCGUGGAAGACUUGGAAAGCCUUUCAACUGAGGUAUUUCUCAUCAUAAUUCAGAGGAUAAAUAGUGAUUUAUAUGACAAAAAAAAAGUUAUCAUAAUUCCGAGACUUGUGAAAUUCAUUGCAGAUUUACCUAGUGGACUUUGUAAUCAUUUGUGUGGGGCGGUUCAGUGGUCUGCCAAACAUUCCAGAAUUCCCCCCAAACAAGGGCCCGGAAGCAUUUCGUGGUAAGGUAAUACAUUCCAUGGACUAUGCUGCCAUGGAUAAUGAAAAGGCUGCUGAGUUCAUCAAAGGCAAACGAGUCAUUGUCGUUGGGUUCCAGAAAUCUGCUUUGGACAUUGCAAUGGAGUGCACUUUUGCAAAUGGUAAUUAGAAUUUAAUCUGAACUGCUGGAAUUCAUAGUUCUUUCUACAUUAGACCAAGUAAAGUUUGCUCUUACCUCUUCGAGAACCGAUAAAUUUUGUGGACUUCAUAUGGAAAGGAACUUGUGAUCAUGUCUCAAUGUGUUUGGUGUCGUUACAAGGAAAUAAAAUUUCUUUAAAUUUCAUUAGUUUUCAGGGGUGGAAAAUCCAUGCACAGUUUUCUACAGGACUGCACACUGGAAUGUCCCUGAUUACCUUCCCUGGGGGAUUCCACUUGGAUAUAUGUAUCUUAACCGAUUCUCAGAGCUUAUGGUUCAUAAGCCUGGUGAAGGGCUUCUACUUGGUCUCUUAGCUACAAUUCUGGCACCGGUGGUAACAUUGCUCUUCAUUCUUUACACCUUGCUAUGUUCUGUUUUACUUUUUAUCAAUGAGCAAUGUGCUUGCUCAGAAGCAAACGACAGUUUAUCUGUGAUUUCUAUAUUUGGAUGGAACCUGCAAAUAUCAGAUGACACCAUCCAUUUAUUUUCUUCACUCCUAUUGUUUCUUCCACUGAUUACUUGUAAUUAUUUGACAGAGAUGGUCAUAUUCAAAAUUUGUUGAAAGUGAUAUCAAAAGGAAGCUACGUUUAGCAAAGCAUGGCAUGGUACCCACACAUAACUUCCUCCAUGAAAUCAGUUCUUGCUUAAUCUCAACGGUCCCAGAAAAAUUCUAUGACAAAGUUGAAGAAGGAAAAAUCAAACUGAAAAAGGCUCCCAGCUUUAGUUUCUGUCACAAUGGCGUUCUGGUGGAAGGUGAGACUACACCUGUUGAGGCAGACGUGGUCAUCUUGGCCACUGGAUUCAAGGGGGAGAAAAAGCUCAGAGACAUUUUCGUGUCCCAAACCUUUCAGGACUACAUAGCUGGAUCACCUGAUGCUGCAAUUCCACUCUACAGGUUAAUUUUUUUUCUUUAGGCAGUCAAGGAACGAUUGUUCCGUAAUUACUUAGAUCAAUUCUAAUUAAAUUUCUUGUUUGAUCACUGAUCAGGGAGUGCAUUCAACCUCAUAUACCCCAACUAGCCGUGAUCGGAUUCUCUGAGAGUGUGUCGAAUUUGUACACCUCAGAGAUAAGAUGCCGAUGGCUAGCAGAACUUCUUGAUGGCACAUUCAAGCUGCCUAGCAUCAAAGAGAUGGAAAAAGAUGUGACAAAAUGGGAUGAAUACCUGAAACGAUACUCGGGUGAAUACUAUCGUAGGAAAUGCAUUGGUGCUCUUCAUGUUUGGUAUAAUGAUCAACUCUGCAAAGAUAUGGGAUGGAACCCCAGGCGGAAGAAGGGAUUCUUUGCUGAACUUUUUGAGCCUUAUGGUCCCUUGGAUUAUGUCCCCUUUUCAGCUGCCUCUUAGCCAUGGGUUUUCUCAUCUUUCAUCAUCUUGUUUUAUGAAUUUCAUUCGUGUUUGUCCCCCUCUUUCAACGGAAUGAGUUUGGUUUUGCUUCAUGAUACUUAAGGUAGCGUUUGGUACUUUACAAUACAAUAUGAUUACAAGUAACGUGAUUGUAUGUAAUGUGAUUGCAAGUAAUAUGAUUACAAGCAAUGUGAUUGCAGAGAAGAUAACAUUGCAGUGUUUGGUAUAUAAGUAAUGUAAUGAUUAAAAUACAGAGAGAUAAUGUUGCAGUGUUUGUUUUAUAAGUAUUUUAUAAGGUAUGUAAUGUUGAUUUUUUAAAACUAUCCUUAUAUAUUCAAAUACAAGUUUAACAUGUAUAUUUUAUUGUUAAAUUUUAUAUAAUGUCAUUUUUAAAUAUAUUUUUAAUUAAAUAUAUUUUUUUUCAUUUCUUGUUACAAGUAUAUAUUUUAUUUUUAAUAUAAUUUUUUAUAUUGUAUAUUUUAUUUUAAAUUUUUUUUAGAAGAUAAUAUUUUAUUUUUAUUUCUUAAUACGUUUUAUAUGUAUACAUUAAUGUGAUAGUUUCCUCUCUCGUAACCAAUAGCAAAUUGGCAAUUAAAUACCCAUAAUUCUCAAUCUCUAAUUAAUUUCUUUUGAAAAUAUCAUAAAUUCAAAAUAACUUGCUAUCAAGCUAAAACAAAAUAUCAAGCAUAACAUCACCAAAACAAUAUAACUGAAAAUCAUAAAUAAAGUUCCUUGAUUGAUGCUCUAAACCAAAAGUCAUAAAGUUCUAAUAAACCAAAAUUGAAGUCACCUAAAAGAUAGACACACCAUUGUUAAAAUACAAAAGAGUUCAAAGUUAAUAACACUGUUAAAGUUCACCAUAAAUUGAUAACUAGUUCUUUGCAAUAACAAUACCCAUCAUUUAGAUAGAGCCACUAAGCAAAGCCUUCACAUAAAUUUUCUGCAACUCCUCUGACAAUGAAAAUAGAUAAUUUAUUUUCCACAUAUCACUAGAGAUGAUAUGUCCAGCGUUAACAAUUUCUUCAGGAGUCAAACCUUCAACUCCCUGAACUAUCUCAACUACACACUUUUUCAACCUCGCAUCUUCAGCCAUGAAUUGAAAACAGCUUGCUAAUUUAUCAAUUCCUUCCCUUGCACCUUAACAGAUUUCUCCAAUUUUAUCCACACUAGAUUGGAAUGCAUGAACAAUGUUGUCACCAUUACUUUUUGUCUUAGUUUUUUUGUGACUCACCUCUCUGUCACCUUGCUUUAUAGUCCUUCUUCUAGCAGCAGUGGAUCCCUCACUAUUGGUAGCUUGAGUAGGAGAAACAUCAUCAUCACCAUUGUCAUUUUCAUCAACAUUCAAUGCACUGAAAGCUUCUGAAGCUACCCUUGUUGUUGUAAAUGCAACUUCCUUAGUUUCUAUGUUCUCCACUACAUCAACUGGUGACUCCGCUCUUUCCCCAGUUGCUCUAUCCUUCCCAAAUAUAAUGGCUAAUGGAUCAAAGUGAGGGAAAGGCUUGUUUCUAAGUCCUGCAGUAGCUGGGUGACUCUAUAUAUAUAACCAUAUACAAAGCAUCAAAAAACCAUGCAAAACAAAUAUAUGCCUACUUUAGAAUAUAAUAAUGUUGUAAAAUAAAUUAGAAUCAUUAUCUUAACCUAACCAAUCCAAACAUCAUCAUCACAAGUAACACAUUUCUUGACAUCAUCCCAACCGAAUCCAGAAGCGGAAUGCGAUAUCAUCUCAACAAUUUCCCUAUAUUGUGUCUUCAACAACCUCAUUCUAGAGUUAAUAUGGGGGAUAGCCUUUAUGUUGCAAUUUGAGAUCUUUUCUUUCAUCCAUUUCUCAAGUUGUUGCAAGUAACCAGGCUUGAAUGUUCCAUUAUCUCUACCCCAACUUUCUUCAUUCAUAAGAUCAAUGCAGCAGUCAAUUAAGACUCCAUCUUCAGUAGGUGUCCACUGAUGGGUGGAUCUUUUGCUUGCCCUUCUUAAUCCUUGAGAUGAUGCAACUUCCAUCUACAAGUAUAAAACAUAAUAUAGAAACAGUAUAAUAACAAAUAUAUAGUAUACAAUAGUUAAUUAAAAAUUAAAGAAGAAACAUAACUUAUCUAAUUAAGAACAAAUACAAAUAUGUCUCAAUCAACACAAAUUUGAGUUAUUACAAAUAAAGCAUACAACAUUUGUUGAACCAAAUAAAAAAUUAAGUUUCAUUUGUAGAAGCUAUCCAAUCAUUCCACAUUUCUUGUGCCAAGUUAUUUCUCCAAGUAGUCCAUGCAUUUGAUGUCUCAAUGUAUUGGAUCGUAUCUGCAUUUUCCAUCACUUCUGAUUCCAUAUACUCUUCAUCCAUUUCAUUCUCAAAUGGAUCAUGUGUCAUUUCUCUCUUAAUGUGAUUGUGUAACAAUGCACAAACAGAGAUAAUUCUACAUUUUGUUUUCACUGGGUACCAAGACUUCUCUUUAAGUAUUGCCCAUCUCAUCUUAAGGAAUCCAAAACAUCUCUUAAUAACAUUCUUAGCACCAAAGUAUUUUUAAUUAAACAGUUCUUUUUUUAAACGAGGAGUGCGAUUUUGUCUCCAUUCAUUCAAAUGAUAACGUUGACCUCUAUAUGGAGUUAAAAACUCCUCUCUAUUUGUAUACCCAACAUCACAUAAGUAGAAAAAACCUAUGAUAAAAAAUUUAUUUUUAGUCCAUCACUCUAAAAUAGUUAAUAAUUGAAUGUAUAUUUUCCUCAUACCUUUUAGGACUUUCAAUCCAUUUUUUCUAGAUAUUGCAUCUCGAAGAACCCUAGAGUCUGAAAGAGAACCCUCCCAUCCAGGUAAGAUAUAUAUGAAUUGCAUAUCCUGUGAACAUACCCUUAACACAUUUGUAGCAAUUUCAUUCUUCCUUGUUCUGUAUCUAGGCUUAUCAAUUUCCAAGGCAUUGACUUUAAUGUAAGUUCCAUCUAAAGCACCUAAACAAUUUUAUUAUUUCCAAUAGAAUAAUGACAAAAAUUAUCCUUUAGUUGCAUUUUUAAUAGAUUCUUAUACUCAAGCUGUAAAUGUUUAAGAAAUUUUAGUUUACCUUAAACCAUUUCCAUCUGAAGUCAGUUGAAUACUCGGGUACAGGCUCUGGCUUCUUUAGCAGUAUUGAUUGCAAUCUUAAAACAGAAUUCAAAACUAAACCAAAAUGCCUACUCACUGUCUCACCACUUCUAACAAAUUCUCUCUUAUGAUCCUAUUCUUUGCAUGAUGAGAAAUGAUGUACAAAAAGAUAGCUACCAUUUCCUCAGCAUUCAUAUUUUUUGUUGGUGUAAGCCUACCAAUGCAUUGAAGCAUAUUACAUAAUUUAUACAAUGCAACUCUAUCCAUUCUAAUAUUUUCAAUGCAUGUUAAAUCAGAAUCAAAUACCAUUCUCCUAAAAUUCAAUUGCCUAACAAUAUGUCUCCUAUAAGUAUUAGUUUUGGAUCUUUUACGCUUUCUAGUAUACAUUAAAAUAUGAUAACAUCCUUGAACCAAAGUGUUAGCUAAAAGUAUCAUGUUGAACAGCUCAAUGGCUAAUACAAUAGCAGACACGAUCGUUGCAAUUUGCUCUUGAGAAAACCCUUCCAUUGUGUGAACUAACAAUAUAAAAAAAUAAUUAAUAUAAUGAAAUAUAAAUAUUAUAUAAAAACAGCAUAUAGUAAGCAUAAAGUUAACUUUUCAUGUCCACCUUACAAAUAUUCAAUUUAUUCAAUUUAUAUAAAAACAUUAUAUAAAUACAUAUUCAUUAUUUUUAAGUUAACUUUUUGCACUCUUUUCUUGCACCCUAAAAUCUAAAAAAAAAUUACAAUGGUUUUCUACUGUCAAGACCAAUUUUACCCUAAACAAAAUAAAAAAAUGGGAGGUCAAAUCUUAAAAAAAAAAAGGCAAAAAAAGAGUAAAAAUUCAAAUUCAGUGUUAAAAUGAGGUUUUUUGGGGUCAAAACGGUGUCAAACUGCCUUCUGCCAUUUGUCAACGCAUAGAUCUCGAAAAGUUACAUGGAUUCAAAAAAAAAUCACCCCGAUCAGACAACCGAGCGCAAAGUUACGACUUUUUGAAGUUGAGUAGGGGAAGAGAUUCCUAUAUAAACCAACGGGGCAUUUUGAAAGAUAAGAUGUUUUCACUAUGUACAGAAACAUGUGACACGUCAUGUACAGAAAUAUGUGACACGUCAUGUAUAGAAAUAUAUGACAUGCCAUGUAAAAGAACAUGUGACACGCCAUAUACAGAAACAUGUGACACGUCAUGUAAAAGAACAUGUGACACGCCAUAUACAGAAACAUGUGACACGCCAUGUACAAAAACAUGUAACACGCCAUGUACAGAAAUAUGUGACACGUCAUGUACAGAAACAUGUGACACGUCAUGUACAGAAAUAUGUGACACGUCAUAUAUAGAAACAUGUGACAUGUCAUAUACAAAAACAUGUGACACGUCAUAUACAAAAACAUGUGACAAGUCAUGGUUAGGUUGUUACACGUCAUGUUGAAAAAAAAUAUUGUUAUUACACGUCAUGUAUAAAAACAUGUUACACACCAUAGUUAAAAAAGGUUAUUACACGCAAUAUUGGAAAAAAAAUAUUGUUGUUACACGCCAUAUUGAAAAAAUAUUGUUGUUACACGCCAUAUUGAAAAAAUAUUGUUGUUACACGCUAUGUUGAAAAAAUAUUGUUGCUACACGACAUAUUCAAAAAUAUUUUAUUACACGUUAAUGCUAAGUACGAGUUCUAUUCAAAGCCAAGAUCCAUGGAUUUGGCAAUGCUAGGUACGAGUUCUGCUGCUUUCAGCAUUUCUAAUUGGAUAAAAGUUCUAAUUAGAUGGAACUUAAAAACUAUUUGAUUACCCAUAUUUUGUUGAGGGAAUAAAAACCAAAAAUUGCAACACCAAAAAUUACAACCAAACACGCAGCAUUUUAUUUCAUCACAAUUACCUGUGCCUUUUGUUGAAAAUUAACUCAGAAAUCCAACCUCUCUUGCCGAUCAAGGGCCAAAUUGUUUCAGCUAUAAACCCUAAAAUACAAAUAAGAAGAAAACUCAAAUUAACACAAAAAAGUCAUAUUAAAGAGUACAAGAAAAAGAUAAAAAAAAAAAAAGAGAAAGAAAAAGAAGAAUGAGAAAUUUUAACCAACAAUUUCAGAUGAUGAAGUAGCAGAGCUAGAAGAAGGAUGAGCGACUUUAGCAAAAUGAAGAAGAAGCAGCAGAAACUCCAAAAAUGACGAUUUUGCUUCUAGUUUUUGAGUAAUUUUUUUAAAAGAUGAUAGGUAAAAAUGUCUUUAAAGAUAUUACAGACUGUAAUAUAAUAUGAUUGCAUUGGUUUUGGACUGCAAUCACAUUACAUCAAUUGGCUGCAAUGUGAUUGCAUUACAAUCUUACAUUGCAGUGGUCUGUUACAAAACAAACACUGCAAUAUAAUUUAAUUGAGCAUAUUGCAGAGAAUGUGACUUUACAUCCUUUAUACCAAACGCAACCUUAAUACGAAACACGAUGUAAGAAUAAUUGAUUUUUUAUUUUGGGUAAUAAUAAGAAUAAGAAAUAUUAAUACUAUUUUAUUUAAAUUAUAUUUAUUAAAAGGGUAAUAUGUCUUUUAAAUUGAGGAUUGCUUCACAUUGAUUUUAAUUUAAACUUGUUUUACUUUUUCUUUUAUUAAUUUAUUUUUCUUUGAUUCAUGUCACGUGAUAAGUUCGUAAUUCUUACAUGUAAUAAAAAUAUUAAAAUUAUCACAAUUUCACAUUUCUUAAAUUAAGAAUAUCUUUAAUAUAUAAAUAUAAUAAAUCUUUUCAAAUAUUAUUAAUAAAUUUUAAAUAAGAUAUUCGGAAAAAAAUUAAAAAAAAUAGGGAAUAUCCAAUAAAUAUUUCCCACCAGCGAACCGGUAGCUAUUAUCGAAGGCCAUAAAUAUCUCGAACCGAAGAGGCCCAAUGAGAAUAUCUCGAACCGAGAACCAUGCCCAGGGAGACAUAUGCUUGUUUGUUUGUCUUUACCUCAAUACGCCUUUUUAGCCAUAACAUUUGCAUGGGUUUAUUAAAUCUAGUCUAUUUUUGGUUUCCAUCGGUGGAAAAGACUUGAGCUCUAGUUAUAGUAAGUCUAGCGGCUGUCUAUUACUAUGUCAGAAGGAAAGAUGAGCUAAGAAGAAUCAAAUGAAAAGACCAGCUUCUAUUAUGGAGCAGAAUGGCCCAGCCAACCAGGCACAGAAAAUGGGAGACGAGGAUUCACGUGAUGGGUGUUGAUUUAUUACUUAAUUCUUCUCUAACGAUUAAUCAAUCGCUCGGUUCAAGUGACAAACCUACCAUUGGACCACAGCACUUGAGACGACAAAACUUCAGACCUCAAAACAAUUUUAUCAGUUCUCAGAUUUUCCAUGGCCAUCUUCAGUCGCAGAAAAGUUCCCUAGCUAGCAUCAAGUGCUGGAGUACGUUGAGGCUUAUGCCCAUUAUUUUGACUUGCUUCGGCAUGUCAGAUUCAAUGCCAAAGUUGUUAGCAUUGACUUCGAAGGGCCAACAGAUGAAGAGAUGCGCUCUUGGCAUCUCUGGGGUGGGACUGAUGAGCCCCUCAGCUCCAAAGGAAACUGGAAUGUUGCAGUACAGGCCACCCAGAAUCAUUCUACAGAGGUAUGUAAUUAAGUUUAUAAUCAUAAAGCUCAACAAGAACAAAGUGAAUGAGAAAAAAGAUGAUGUCAUGCCUUGGAUGAAUUUUCUUUUAAAUGUGAAAUUCAGGUUUACCAGGUGGACUUUGUAGUCCUCGGCCUAGGCCGGUUCAGCGGCAUUCCAAACAUUCCAUCGUUUCCUCCAGGAAAAGGGCCAGAAACCUUUCACGGUGAGGUAAUACACUCCAUGGAUUAUGCUGCCAUGGAUUACAAACUUGCUGCUAAAUGCAUCAAAGGGAAGCGAAUUGUUGUAUUUGGACUCCAGAAAUCUGCCUUGGACAUCGCAAUGGAAUAUUCUACAGCAAAUGGUAAGAUUACAAAGUUUCUUUAGUUCUAAGAUGUACGCAAAACACACAGGGUUGGAUUUUCUGACAUGAAGUUUCAAUCUAAUCCUGUUUCCAGGCGUAGAACUUCCUUGUACAGUAUUAUACAAGACCGAACGUUGGAGCGUUCCCAAUUACCUUCCAUGGGGAGUGCCGCUAGCUUAUUUAUACCUCAAUCGCUUCUCAGAGCUUUUGGUUCAUAAGCCUGGUGAAGGCUUCCUCCUCAGUUCAUUGGCAACAAUUCUUUCACCUCUGGUAACUAAUAAAAUUUCUUAUCUAAAGCACAUCUUGAGCACCUUCAGGAAAUUAACCGCAGCAGACUGAAAUCGGUUCUAUUAACUGCAGCAGACUGAAAUCGGUUCCUUGCUAUUAAACAGAGAUGGGUACUCUCAAAAUUCGUCGAGAAUUAUAUCAAAUGGAAACUGCCUUUGGCAAGGGUUGGGAUGGUACCAAAGCACAGCUUUCAUCAAGAAAUUAGCUCCUGUUUGACCUCAACAGUGCCAAAAAACUUCUAUGACAGAGUUGAGGAAGGAAGCAUCUUACCGAAGAAGACCCAAAAUAUAAACUUCAUGAAGAAGGCAUAAUGGUAGAUGACGAAGAUUCACCUCUAAAGACAGAUUUGGUGAUACUGGCUACUGGAUUCAGGAGAGAUAAGAAGCCUAGAGACAUUGUUGCGUCCCCCACUUUUCCAGACUGCAUGGCCUGCACACCUGAAGCAAGAGUUCCAAUAUACAGGCUGAGAAUCUUAACUAGCUACAUGUUCAAACAAUAGUUUCAUCAAAUUAAACCGGUAACCAGAAAAAAGAAUAAAGAUUAUGAGAACUAACUCAUAUCUCUUCAAACAAGAUGGAUUUCUAGGAGCAAUGAAGCUUGAUGAUAGGAAAAUGGCAAGAAAUCGGCUCUCGGCUACUAACGAGAAAUGGAGUAGCGAAGCACUUUUCCCUCAAAGGUGGUGGACAAGACAAAGUGAAAAUGAGCUUCCAUCCCCCUUUUUCUUUGUUAUGGGCGGACCUCUCGAGGCAAAAGCCUUGAAAUGACUUUCAUUUUUCAUUUUCUCAUACGUGCGCGGAUUGCCCAAAGUCACUUUCUUUUUCUAUUCUUUUUUUUAUCACAUGUCAUUUUAUGCAAUCCCUUACUUUGUUAUUAACGUUACUUUUCAGAGUGGCAUGUGCAUGUAAUAUUGUCUUAUCUAUUCUUUUUAUCUUUGGUUAGAUUGUCUUAUCUAUGCAUUGUUCCAUAUGGUAUUUUUUUUGAAUUAUUUCAUUUACAUUUUAUUUCACAUGUAUUUUAUUUUCAUUUUCUUUUAAUACCAUCUUAUCAUCCAAUAAUAUUUCAUACACAUUUCCUUUGUUAAUAGCCUUUGCCAUCCCAUGAACCAAUAAAACUUCAUGCAUUUAUUUCUUAUUUGGCCUCCCUCACAACCAAUAGAAUUUCAUGCACUUUUUAAUUUAUUUCUUUUAUUCUUAAUCCUUUUUCUACUAGCAUGUGUAACUACUCAAAUUUCAUGCAUAUCUUUUUUUUAAUAAAAUAUUAUUUAUUCUUCUUCUCUUUAUCAUCUUUUAUAGGAUAGGGGUCUCAUAUGUCCCUCACUAAACUUUAUAUUUACGUACAAUUAUUUAUAUGUAAUUGUAACUUCACGUGAUAGAAAUUUUAUAUGUCUUUCAUUAAAAAUUAUUUUUUAGAGAGAAAAAAGUAUGAUGGUUCUAGAACUACUUAAAAGUAUUAUGGUCACCGACAAGAUUAAAAGAAAUUUUUCUUAAUUAACCAUGCAUGUGUGCAUGACUUAUUUUAUUAUAUAUUAAAAUACCCCAUUUAAUGAUUCUUAACAGGGGUACUUAACAUUUGCCUUGCCAGUAUCAGUAGCUAGCACUACUAGCACUGCUCCAGAGCAGAGUUAUUUAAUAUUUUAUUAACCAAAAAUCAAAGUUAAAGUUCUGCAUUGAAUAAAGUGAUUAAAGGAAAGUAGAUUCAAUUGACCUUGGAUCUUGCAAAAUAAAAAAAUCGAUUUCUUUUCCAAUGCAAGAUUCACUGAAGGACACAAAAGGAAUUAUGCUAGAAAGAAUUACCACUAAUGAUCUGAGUUAAAUAUUUCAAUGCAUUGAAAGUAAUAAAAUAUAUAUUUAUANAUUUCAUGCAUAUCUUUUUUUUAAUAAAAUAUUAUUUAUUCUUCUUCUCUUUAUCAUCUUUUAUAGGAUAGGGGUCUCAUAUGUCCCUCACUAAACUUUAUAUUUACGUACAAUUAUUUAUAUGUAAUUGUAACUUCACGUGAUAGAAAUUUUAUAUGUCUUUCAUUAAAAAUUAUUUUUUAGAGAGAAAAAAGUAUGAUGGUUCUAGAACUACUUAAAAGUAUUAUGGUCACCGACAAGAUUAAAAGAAAUUUUUCUUAAUUAACCAUGCAUGUGUGCAUGACUUAUUUUAUUAUAUAUUAAAAUACCCCAUUUAAUGAUUCUUAACAGGGGUACUUAACAUUUGCCUUGCCAGUAUCAGUAGCUAGCACUACUAGCACUGCUCCAGAGCAGAGUUAUUUAAUAUUUUAUUAACCAAAAAUCAAAGUUAAAGUUCUGCAUUGAAUAAAGUGAUUAAAGGAAAGUAGAUUCAAUUGACCUUGGAUCUUGCAAAAUAAAAAAAUCGAUUUCUUUUCCAAUGCAAGAUUCACUGAAGGACACAAAAGGAAUUAUGCUAGAAAGAAUUACCACUAAUGAUCUGAGUUAAAUAUUUCAAUGCAUUGAAAGUAAUAAAAUAUAUAUUUAUAUAUAUAUAUAUAUUCUAACCUAUAUUCUACCUAGAUACUUUAUUUACAUCUAAUACCUUAAAAGUAAUUUUUUUUUAAUUUUUGGAUUUUUCAUUUCUUUUCUCUUUUAAGUGCUCGAGAGACAUUAUUGAGUUCUCUGGAUGACUGGAUGGAUGAGAUUUUCAGUCAUUUCAGACACCAGAACCGACAGCAAACUCAAGACUCUUGCUAGACAUUUCCAAAGCUUCCCUCCCAAACUGUUGAAAACCAAAACUUCUAUAUUCGAUUUCAUCAAAACCCCAAACAACAGACACAAACUACAUUUCUUCUCUCUUUCUAUUUCUCUCCCCGUUCUUCUUAUCAUUUUGACAAUGUGCAGGGAAAGCUUCACAUUACUCAGGUACAUUCUCCUGGUUUAGAAAUUACAAGUUAAAUAAAAGAGGAAAUUUGAUUCGAUUUUUUGAAUUUUGGUUUAUGUUGGAAUUUUAAUUUUUUAUAAAAAUAAUAAUUAAUGUAGCGGUAAUGUUGACUGUAGUUUAAAUGCUUGCUUUGAGGUUGUGACCCUUCUUUAGUGGAGUGAUUGUCUGUAUGGAAUGGAAUGAAGUUGAACCAUUUACUUAGCAUAUGUUGGUCUAUGGUUUGGUAGAGUUUAGGCUUUGUUCUCUGAAUUGCAUGGUUGCUGAGAUUGCAUGUGUGUUUUGAUGGUUCUACAUUUUUUUCCUGGGGUUAGAUAUUUCGCUUACAGUUUGCUAGUUGUUUUUUCAGCUCAUUUUGUGCUUUGAUUUCUUCUUUUCUUUGUUGGUUACAGCUUUUUAUAUUUAUUUAUGUUUCUAAAUUGUAAACCAUUGGGGUUGGCACUGGCAUAUCUAUUUCUAUCUGAAUUUUUGGAUGAUUUGUCAACAAGGUCAUUAUAUGUUUUAACACAAUAUUGCAUAUUUACUGUUUUUUCUCAUAAAAUAUUGUUAAUAUCUCUAACAACAUUUAUCUAUGCAUUGUUGUUAACAAUUACUUUAUUGCUCAAUUCAUAGAUGAAAUAUAUUAUCAAAUUAUUUAACUAUUCAAAAUAAUUUUUAAGCUAUACGUGUCAAACAGUAACUCCCGCAGGAUAGCGCGGGUGAGUGACUAGUUUGUAAUGCAUAUGAUGGAUGCAGCUCCAGUUAUGCUCCUGUUGGUGUUCACGGGGAUAGUUUAUUUAUUUGAUUCCUGAAGAUCUUGGGCAGAGUGCUAUAUAGAGAGAGAGGCAAAAAGGCAGGCAAUAUCGAUAGAGUAUCGGACAAUUUGGCAAUGGAGAGGCAGGUGGCCAUCGUUGGAUCUGGUAUAAGUGGCCUCCUUGCCUGUAAGUACACCUUGUCGAAAGGUUUCCAUCCAAUUGUUUUCGAGUCCCAAAGGAGCGUCGGAGGGGUAUGGACCCAAACGCUGGAGACUACAAGGCUCCAAACUCCCAAGUCAGUUUAUCAGUUCUCAGAUUUUCCUUGGCCAUCUUCAGUCACAGAUG